GACGAACGCUGGCGGCGCGCCUAACACAUGCAAGUCGAACGGAGAAUACGGGACUGAAGCCUUCGGGCAGAUGGCCUGUAUUCUUAGUGGCGGACGGGUGAGUAACACGUGAGCAACCUGCCUUCAAGAGGGGGAUAGCACCUGGAAACGGGUGGUAAUACCGCAUAAGACCACAGUGUCGCAUGGCACAGAGGUCAGAGGAGCAAUCCGCUUGAAGAUGGGCUCGCGUCCGAUUAGAUAGUUGGUGAGGUAACGGCUCACCAAGUCGACGAUCGGUAGCCGGACUGAGAGGUUGAACGGCCACAUUGGGACUGAGACACGGCCCAGACUCCUACGGGAGGCAGCAGUGGGGGAUAUUGCACAAUGGGCGAAAGCCUGAUGCAGCGACGCCGCGUGAGGGAAGACGGCCUUCGGGUUGUAAA
This 422-nucleotide ribosomal RNA is filed under the name uncultured bacterium. Its description in RNAcentral is "bacterial SSU rRNA". It matches the Rfam family "Bacterial small subunit ribosomal RNA", at positions 28 to 429 of the family's 1533-position model. The record is from RNAcentral.